Molecule: microRNA precursor, 70 nt
Filed under: Erinaceus europaeus (western European hedgehog)
Lineage: Eukaryota; Metazoa; Chordata; Mammalia; Eulipotyphla; Erinaceidae
Description: miRNA (ENSEEUG00000019415.1)
Source: RNAcentral
AUAAGAGAGAGAGCACAGUCCCUGUCCUCUGUCAUGUCCUAGGGCAAGGGCUUUACCUGCUUCCUUCUCC